CAUGCAGCUGGCUAUUCUGCUAUAACAAAUUAAUAGCCUAACAAAUUUCAAAUAGCCUAACAAACUUCAGAUGGUUAUUCAUAACCAUCUAACAAACUCAUUGUUGUCCAGAUAUGGCUACCCAAGAGGGAGGAUGAAUUAGAUAUUUUAAAAAUUUUAAACCAAAUUUAAUCUCUAACCAAAUAUAUGCUUCUAACUUAAGUAAUUGUG
RNAcentral lists this long non-coding RNA (210 nucleotides) under Elaeis guineensis (African oil palm). RNAcentral's name for it is "long non-coding RNA (EGUI_LNC039138)". Lineage: Eukaryota; Viridiplantae; Streptophyta; Magnoliopsida; Arecales; Arecaceae. The record is from RNAcentral.